CCCUACGGGAGGCAGCAGUGGGGAAUAUUGGGCAAUGGGGGAAACCCUGACCCAGCGACGCCGCGUGAGGGAAGAAGGUUUUCGGAUUGUAAACCUCUGUCCUUGGUGACGAUAAUGACGGUAGCCAAGGAGGAAGCCACGGCUAACUACGUGCCAGCAGCCGCGGUAAUACGUAGGUGGCGAGCGUUGUCCGGAUUUACUGGGUGUAAAGGGAGCGUAGACGGCGGCGCAAGUCCGGAGUGAAAGCCCACGGCCCAACCGUGGGACUGCUCUGGAAACUGUGCGGCUUGAGUGCGGGAGGGGCG
Molecule: ribosomal RNA, 305 nt
Filed under: uncultured bacterium
Lineage: Bacteria
Description: bacterial SSU rRNA
Rfam family: Bacterial small subunit ribosomal RNA
Source: RNAcentral